CCUACGGGAGGCUGCAGUGGGGAAUAUUGCGCAAUGGGCGAAAGCCUGACGCAGCGACGCCGCGUGAGGGAUGAAGGUUCUCGGAUCGUAAACCUCUGUCAGCAGGGAAGAACGGUUACUGUGCUAAUCAGUAGUGUAUUGACGGUACCUGCAAAGGAAGCACCGGCUAACUCCGUGCCAGCAGCCGCGGUAAUACGGAGGGUGCGAGCGUUAAUCGGAAUUACUGGGCGUAAAGCGCUUGUAGGCGGUAUGUCAAGUCAAGGGUGAAAUCACCGCGCUCAACCGGGGAACUGCCUUUGAAACUGGCAAACUGGAGUAUGUGAGAGGGAGGUGGAAUUCCUGGUGUAGGAGUGAAAUCCGUAGAUAUCUGGAGGAACAUCAGUGGCGAAGGCGACUAUCUGGCACAUAACUGACGCUGAGGAGCGAAAGCGUGGGUAGCAAACAGGAUUAGAUACCCCGGUAGUC
Molecule: ribosomal RNA, 465 nt
Filed under: uncultured bacterium
Lineage: Bacteria
Description: partial 16S ribosomal RNA
Rfam family: Bacterial small subunit ribosomal RNA
Source: RNAcentral